Molecule: ribosomal RNA, 253 nt
Filed under: uncultured bacterium
Lineage: Bacteria
Description: partial 16S ribosomal RNA
Rfam family: Bacterial small subunit ribosomal RNA
Source: RNAcentral
UACAGAGGUCUCAAGCGUUGUUCGGAUUCAUUGGGCGUAAAGGGUGCGUAGGUGGCGCGCUAAGUCAGGUGUGAAAUUUCGGAGCUUAACUCCGAAACUGCAUUUGAUGCUGGCGUGCUUGAGGACUGGAGAGGAGACUGGAAUUCAUGGUGUAGCAGUGAAAUGCGUAGAGAUCAUGAGGAAGACCAGUGGCGAAGGCGGGUCUCUGGACAGUUCCUGACACUGAGGCACGAAGGCCAGGGGAGCAAACGGG